RNAcentral lists this long non-coding RNA (41975 nucleotides) under Arabidopsis lyrata. RNAcentral's name for it is "long non-coding RNA (ALYR_LNC001262)". Lineage: Eukaryota; Viridiplantae; Streptophyta; Magnoliopsida; Brassicales; Brassicaceae. The record is from RNAcentral.
AAAAAAAAAAAAAAAAAAAAAAAGGUUAUGACGAUAGGAAGUUAAUGUAUUUAUAGGAGGUUAAAUAUGUGUUUCUAGGGUUAACGAUUUAACAUAUAGUCGGUGUAGUUGUAUAUUUUGUUCGGCCCAUAUUGGUUAAACGGAUUACACAAUGUGGCCUUUUAUUUAAACGAAAAUCAUUUAAUAUAAUUAGAUUAAAAACGGAAAAAAAACAAGAGCUCAACAAGAGCCGUGAGUCUGACACGUCAGCAAAAACACUUCUUAUAUGUAAAUUUUGUUGCGAAUAUGUAAACAUUAUCGUAUAAAAGUAAAAAUGCUAUAAUUUAAUAAAAUAACUAAUUAAUAUUCGAAUUUAAUAAAGGGUAUUUAAGUAAUCACAUAAAAGCAAGGGCUCAACAAGAGCUGUGAGGCCGACACAUCAGCAAAAACACUUCUCAAAUAUUAUUAUAUAUAGAAUUAAAAACGGAAAAAAAACAAGAGCUCAACAAGAGCCGUGAGUCUGACACGUCAGCAAAAACACUUCUUAUAUGUAAAUUUUGUUGCGAAUAUGUAAACAUUAUCGUAUAAAAGUAAAAAUGCUAUAAUUUAAUAAAAUAACUAAUUAAUAUUCGAAUUUAAUAAAAGGUAUUUAAGUAAUCACAUAAAAGCAAGGGCUCAACAAGAGCUGUGAGGCCGACACAUCAGCAAAAACACUUCUCAAAUAUUAUUAUAUAUAGAUAUAGAUCCCUUUAUUAUUAUCUUAUAUGUAUUCUUUAUAUAUAUAAAGCUUCUAUCUGCUGUUUAGUUACUAAACUAAUUGCUGGAAAAAAAAAAGUUACUAAACUAAUUAUCUUCUCGGGAGAAUUUUUUGCUUCCAAUAAUAUGACAAGGUCUCUUUGUACCUUUUGUGGUCUCAGGAGCAGCCACUGCCAAUGUCAUCAGCAAGCUUCAACCGCCCCAUAUGCAAACGGUGACGACGGAGAAAGAGCGUUCAAGCUAACACCAGCCUCCUUCUGCGUUUUUUACCUCCUAUUCGCUCUCGCAAUGAUUGGUGUCUACCUCUUCUUAUAUUUGAUUGCUAUCAUUCCCGUCAUCCAUCGAACUUGUUACCUGGAGGUCUUUGCUGACUCCUUCUCCGACUCAAACGCCUCAAACGCAAACGCAACCGCAGAUUGGAACUUCGGGUUUACAACAAGGAAUCCAGGUAACGGAUGUAAAGUCUCUCUCCACACAGUCAAAUCGCGUCUCCUCCGCGGAGAUAAGCUUCUAUCCGAGUCAUCCAUUCCUGAUUUUACUCGUAACCGGGAAAAUCAAUGAUGUACCGGUUCCUUAUGCGGUUUUCAAAACGGUUGCAACGCCCCGCAACGAAUUGGUUUGGGAUCUCCGGCUCGAAGUCGUAACUAGCGUUAAGAUAAAAGGUCGAGCCGGUCAUGGAGAUGGUUUCUUGAUCGUGACUUGCCGUGAUAUACCGGUAAAUUUUACGGCAGAUCCGGCUGGAAAUGUGAAUGGAUCGUUGAUCGGAUAUAUGAGGCCUUGUGAGUAUUUAGUCCAGAAAGAGUAUACGGACACAUCCUUUUAGACUUUCUCUCUGAUCAUGAAUCUAUCUCUUUACGAGUUUUGUCUUAAUUAGGGCUACACAUCUUUUUCUUUUUAAUUUUUGUGUUUAACUUUUUUUUUUGUUCAACAUUUUUGUGUUUUAACCCAUGUUCAAGAAAACGCUAGGCGUUAAGCGGGCGGUGACGCAACGCUUAGCGUCGACAAGAUUCAAUGUCACUCUUCUUUCACAGAAUUGGAAUAAGUAGAUUAAGACCUUUUAGAGAUUAAUGUUUCAAUUAGGCUUUCUACUUCAUCAUCUUUUAUUUUUUUCAGGUUAUCUAUAUAUUUGUAUUAAGAUUGUUUCUUCCAAAAUUUUUGUUUCUUCCAUACAAUUGUGUAAACUAUAUCUUAACUUUAUAAGCGCCUCUAACAAAGAAGAACAGAUACAACUCUAUUCUCAAAUGCUCAAUUAAUAGAGUUUCGAUAUAUAUAGUGGCUUUUAAGCAAAUAAAUAAAUACUGUCGACAACCUUUGAUCACACGGACAACAUAAUCGGCUGGUUCCCAAACCAACCGAGAUUACGAGCUUCUUUAAUAAAUAUAGGGAUAUUAAAUAAAGGAUCGUAAAUAAUUUUUACUACUGUCGAUGAUUUAGGUGAUUUCCUAAGAAAGUAAGAAGUUCCUAUUCUAGUGUUGAAAAUAAAAGUAGUUCCGAUUUUGUUCAACACAGUUUUACUCACUUUUGAUGUUUGCUUCCGUUGAGUGCUUUUUUAAUCUACUAAUUUAGACUAAUUUUGUUAUUAUUUAGUGUUAUUACUUAUUUGAUUAAUAAGCUAAGCUAGUAUUAUUAAUAUUUAUAAUUAAAGUAGAUAAACAAGGCUCCCUUAUUAGAUUUGCUUUCGAAUCAAAAUAUUCUUCAAUAUGCUAAACAAACUUAACAUAUUAGAAAAAUAUAAAGGCUAAAAUAUAUGUAAUUUUUUUUUAAAACGCCUUCAUUUAGUUACUUUUUUUUUUUGUGUGUGUAUAACAUUUUAGGUAUUCCUAUAUAAUUUGUUAUUAUCUUCUCUUUUCAUCAUGAAGUGUUAAACAUCCAAUAUGGAAAGUUCUCGAUGUACCUCUAGUGGCCUCAUUUACCAGCAUUGCAAGUCAUACCGUUACAAUUUUAUAUAUUUUGUUAACGAUGAAGAAAUGAUAGAGUUCACUUCACGAGAAGAAACACUUGCAAUAAAAUAAAAUAAGAGGAUUAAAAGAAAUCCAUUUUUUUUGUAGAAAAAGAAACAGCUAACGGAAAGCAAGAAGAGUUCCUAAUCCAAUAGCUUAGGUAUCGUGUUCUCCAACGCUUUGAAAGACGAAUGACACUUAGUCUUCUGAUAACCAAUAGUCAGAUUCUGACACCGGAUAUCGAGAUGUCCAUAUUCAUAUCCAUACGCAGGACUUUUCUUCUUCGCGCUAAGUUUCAUGUCUAAUUCGAAAACUCUUUGAUUACCCUCCUUAGCUAAAUCCACCGAGAAACUCGUGUGACCGCCACGUGAACCACGCUUGCGCGAGGUUUUCAAAACGGCGGCGUUUAAGGAGCCUAGCUUGGCGUACACGUCAUCUCCGUUGUAGUCGAUUGGACACCAUGAGCUCGGGUUCACGAGAAAAUCAACGUGCCACGUGGCGGAAGAGGAGGGGGAAACGGAGAUGGAUUCGACGGAGAAGCUGACGUGGCAGAAAAGUUUGUCGAUGUGUAACAAGAUGUUCAAAAAGGCUAAGAUUGUCAAGCCGCCGCACAAAUAGGGUUUUAAAAAUAUAGCUGAUUUCUCUUCUUUAGUGAGUUCGUUACGACGAAGGAAUAAUGAAUGCAGUUGUGUCCACCACCGUGAUGGAGGAGGAGGAUCAGUGGCGGAGGACGGUGGCGUUGGGAAUCCGGUCUCUAUUUCCAUCUGCCUGUUUGCCAUUUUUUGUUGUUUAGGGUAUGGAAUGAAUAAUGAUUUCGAUGUGACCUUAAAUCACAAUAUUUUUGAUUGAUUUUUAUAUAUUUUUUUUUUAUUUCUUAUAAGAUUUUGUAAGUAAGAUAUGAAAGUUUGUUAUGAUAUAUAGGGGAUAAUCAGAAUUGAAUAGGUAAAAUUAGUCGGAAAAAAACCCCUUCUUUUUUCUUCUUCUAGUUGCUUUUAAGAUUAUGUGAGUGUAUAUGAAAGUCUGUUAUAAUCUUUCGGGCGAAGAGGGGAAUAUUGUUACGAUAUUUGAGAAUUGAGAUACGUAAAGUAUCUCGUUACGUUGCAAUAGUUUAUUAGAAAAGCCUUUCGUUUAAUCAUCCAAACAUUUAGCUAGUUAUAUUAUCCUUAAACUAAUAACGUAUCAUCGCAUGAAAAAUUUACAAGCAAAAUGACAAGGUCUCUUUGUACUUCUUGUGGUCUCAGGAGCAGAUACUGCCAAUGUCAUCUGCAAAAUUCAACUGCCCCAAACGCAAAUGCAAACAGUGACAACGGAGAAAGAGCGUUCAAGCUUACACCAGCCUCCUUCUGCGUUUUCUACCUCCUAUACACUCUCGCAAUGUUUGGAUUCUUCCUCAUCUUAUAUAUGGGUGCAGUCUUUCCCGACUACAUCCUAAAAGGGGUUUGUAACUUGGAGGUCUUUGCUGACUCCUUCUCCAUUUCAAACGCCUCAAACGCAAACGCAACCGCUGAUUGGAACGUCGGGUUUACAACAAGGAAUCCAGGUAACGGAUGUAAAGUCUCUCUCCGCACCAUCAAAUCGCGAUUGCUCCGCGGAAACAAGCUUCUCUCCGAGUCAUCCACUCCUGAUUAUUUCGGUUUACUGGUAACCGGAAAACUCAAUGAUGUACCGGUUCCUUAUGCGGUUUUCAAAACGGUUGCAACGCCCCGCAAAGGCGUGGUUUGGGAUAUCCGUGUCGAAGUCGUAACUAGCGUUAAGAUAAACGGUCGAGCCGGUCAUGGAGAUGGUUUCUUGAUCGUGACUUGCCGCGAUAUACCGGUAAAUUUCACGGCAGAUCCGACUGGAAAUGUGAAUGGAUCGUUGAUCGGAUAUAUGAGGCCGUGUGAGUAUUUAGUUCAGGAGGAGUAUACGGACCCAUCCUUUUAGAGUUUCUCUUCGAUCAUGCAUCUAUCUCUCUCUCUUUUACAAGUGCUUGGCGUUAGGGUUAGUGAAUUUGUUUCUUUCUUUCUAAAACAUUUUAAAUGUUAUUCAAUAAUAAGAUAGCUAGGAGUCUAGGACUAUCACAGAUCAUUAUAUUGUAGCUAUUUUUUAUUGCCAAUGGACAAAUCCAUAUAAUUGUGCGAUCUAUAAUUUCAUUUAUAUAUUUCAAUAAAUUGGCUUAAUGUAUAUUGACGAAUGCAUGUACAUGAGAUUAUAUAAACAAGGGCUGGAGAAUUAAGUAGCUACUGGUGAAAUAUUAUAUUUGCUACGUUUUAGUGAGGGAUGUGGGGAGAUUAGAAGGAUUCAUAUCUUGCCAUCUAUGUUUUGAGAUUUUAAAGUUAGUACCACACAAACUAUGAAUAAAUAUUUAUCUUGCUCAAAGUUUGAUAAAGACUAAGAAAAGGUUUUCAAAAUUUCACACGAUAACCCAAAUUCUAAAGUGAUUUAAAGUAUAUAACUUAACUCUGCUAAGUUUUAUUAAAUUUCAGAAAUUCACAUUCUAAAUAAAGGAAAAUUAUAAAAGAAACUAAAAAAGAGAAAUUUAAAAUUUUAAGACUUUUCAUAGUAUUCAGAAGUCACAAAAACAUAUAGUAAAAAUAAUCGACAUGCCUCAUUAGCUAUUCAACUUAUAUAAAAUUUCUAAUCAAAUUUAUAUGCUUGAAAAAUACAUGCAUUAAAACUAGAUCAUAACCCGUGCUGGAACAGCACGGAUGAAAUUUUAAUUUUUAAAUAUUUAUAUAAAGUUGGAUUAUUGUUUGUUUUAUAGUACAAUUUUAAUAAUUCUUUACAUAAUACAAUGACAUAUAAGGAUUUUUUAUUUUAUUUUGUUUGAUGAAAAAAUAUUAGGGGUGGGGUACGGUUUUUCGGUUUAGUAUCGUUUUUUUCGUUUUGUAGAAAGUGAAACCAUAUAGAAACCGUAUGUAAUUCGGUUUAGUUAUAGUUCGAUUUUUACGGUUUUUUACGUUUUUUGGUUAAAAAUAAAACGUAUGUAUUUGAUAUAUGCUAGUAGUAAGUGAAAAAAAUUGCUUAUAUAAUAAACAUAUUUUGGUAUAUAAUAAGAUUAAAUUCAACCCGUGCAUACCUAUAUUUUUAUUUUAGAAUCCCAAUUAAAAAAUUGUGUGCACAAUCCAUCAUUCAUUAUUUUCAUAUAUACUUAUAGAAUCAAAAUUUUAAAUAUUUAGAGGUGUCAAACUUUAUUUAAGUCAUCUCAUCAUAUAAUCUUAACAUGGUUUCGGUUAUAAAGAUCAUAACUCUUUUUAUCAUAUAAUACAUUACAUUUAACAUGCUACUUGGCGUUUGCUAUAAAUAUUUUAAAUAUUUAUGCUUUGAAAAAUGAAAUUAGAGUAUUAUUUUUUUUUAUUGUAGAAUAUAAAAUUAAGAAUUUUUUAAAAUAAUUGUAUGAACUUAAAUAUAAAUAUUCAAAUAGUUAUAAGGAUCAUAACUCAUUUCAUUAUAUUUAACCCACCGUCUAUUAUAAAUAUUUUUUAAAUAUAUAUGUUUUAAGAAAACCAAAUUAGUGUAUGUAUAAUUUUUUAUUUUUUUAUUUAUUAAGUAUUGAUGAAAUUUGUUUUUAAAUAUCAAGUAAAACUAUUUUUAAAUAUUCCAAAUUAAAAUAUUUAAAAUUUUAUCGUAGUAUAUAAAAUUAUAUAUUUUAAAAAAAUAUAUGAAAUUGAAUAUAAUUACUCAAAUUCUGACCCGUUAUUCAGGCGGAAUUUUUGUUGAAUUUAUUUUUGUUCAAAAGAAAUAUAUUAUCCAAGUCUAAAUUUUUGACUCGUUAAAUUUUUUUUUCCAUAAAUUGAAUAAUUUAUAUUCGUUUUUAUAAAUUCAAAUUAUGGCAUAUGCGGAAAAAAAAUCUAUUUUUUAUUAUUAUAUAGAUGAUAUGAUGAUUUAUUUGUUUCACAAUAAUAGAAUCAUAUAAAGAUGAGAGGUGAAAUAUAAUGAUUAAUGACAAAUUAAUAAGGUAAGUUAGAUAUCAAAUCUUAUAUAUUCAUUUUGAUGGGUCAUUUAAAAAUAAUAAUAAUGUAUUUUUCAUUUUUAUAAUUAAAUUAAUUUAAUUAAAUUGUAUAAAUUGACUUGUUUAUCCUUAAUAAGAUGUAUUAAUUUACUCUUUGAAAUUUUAUCUCUAAUGACAUUCUUAAGUAAAUUUUUACAAAAAGAAAGGUUAGUUAAAUGUAUCUUAUAAAGUGUACUCCCCAAAUAAUAGUAAAGGAUUAACAUCAUGCAUGCAAUAUGGGGCUGAAUUCUAGAAGAUAUAUUAUCUUAUAGAUAUGAAAAUGAUUUUUUUUUCAUCCAACUGAUUUAUCAUAUAAUUAAUUUCUUGAUUGUGUUCGUAAAAAAAUAAUAUCCCCGAAAUAUCAUAACAAACUUUUUAUCAACACAUCAAAUUUUAAAGAAGGGAAAGAAAUGUGAGAUGAGUGAUAAUGAACGAUUAGGUUAACAUCAAACAUUUCUUUCCACUUCUAACCAAUACACGCAAAAGAAAAAGAGAGAACAAAAAUCAAAAUGGCUUCCCAAACCGUGCCAGAAGUUGUGAUCAGAUAUCCAAUGCCACCGUCCUCGGACACUCCUCCUCCUCGUGGAUGGUGGUCACGACCAAUAGUGACUUUGCCGGCACUGCAUGAUCGUGAGGCCACUUGCACGGACUUCACCGCUUUUUUUACACCCUGUUGCGGCGGUAUAUUCACCGUCAUCGCCGUACUCGUUUUUAUCACUCACGUCAUCGAUAAUACUCACUGCGACGCCAAAUUCUCCAUCCAAUCCAUCGCCGUAUCUCCAUCCUCUGCCACAUGGCACGUUGAUUUUCUUGUCAAAAACCCUAGCCCUAGGUAUUCGUCCAACGAACAUUAAUUAUAUCUUGUUCCCAUGUUUUUGUCAUAUUUAUCCGAUGCUCGAAGCAAUGACAUCUUUUUGUCUAUGUUCUGGACCGGGUCUUGCAGAUAUACUAUCUACUACGGAGGCGAUGAAACCGCGGCGAGGCUCGGUCCCUUAAACGCUGCCGUUUUAAAUGCUUCUCACGAACGUAAGUCUCGAAGUCACACGGCUUUCUCAGUGGAUUUCGCUGCCGAGGGUAAUCCAAACAACGAAUUUUCCAAACAAUUAGAUAUCAAAUUGAGCGCUAAACUAACGAGUUACGGAGAAGAUGAUCCUAGAGCUGGACAUGUUGAUGUAAGGUGUUAUAAUCUGACCCGAAACCAUGAGAACGUCGAGAAGAUUCAAUGUUACACUACUUUCACAAAAUUGCCAGAAGCAGUAGAAUAUUAAGACGUUUUAAAAAUAGUUCAAAUUAGGCUUUCUACUUUUUUCCAUAAUCUUCUUGUUUUAUUUUCUGUUAUUAUAUUAAGACCUUUUUUCUUCCACACAAUUGUGUAAACUAUAUUAUUCCUUUAUAAGCGCCUUUAAGAAAAGAGAAAGAGAUCAGAACUCCACUUUCAAAUGCUCGAUUUAUAAGUUUCGAUAAAUAGUGAGAACUCAAUUAUAUUUAAAAAAAAAAAAAGCAAAAAAAAAAAAACUGUAAAAAACAUAAAUUAUCGCUUUUUAAUAAAAUUAAAAAGUACUGUUGAGUGUUGACAUCAUAUGUGAUUCCUAACUAGUUCCGAUAUCAGUGUUAAAACUAAAAUUAAAGUAGUUCCGAUUUCCUUUAACAGUAUUUGUUAUCUAAUAGUACUAAUUUAUACUUUCCCUAGAAUUCCGAUAGAUAUCCCUUAAUUAGAUUUGCUUUCGAAGCAAAAUAUUAAAAAAAAACUUUUAAUUUAUUUAUCAUGUAGUUCUAUAUAAGUAGAAGUUAUUUUUCCAUCAGGAAGUGUUAAAACUUCCAUAAUGUCAAAUUCUCAAUGUACCUCUUGUGGCCGCAUGCACCAAAGUGGCCAAUGUCACAUACAAAAUUCAACCACCCCUUUCAGCCAGCCCAUCGAUGUUACUCCAGCUUGCUGCUGCAAUUGUUACCUUUACACCAUUUGUUUCUCCAUCGUUAUUAUACUCUUUUCUAUAGGGCUUUCGAUGAUUCCGUCUUUAAGAGGUUAUUGUUACGUGGAGCUUUUUGCCAAUUCCAUCUCCGUCUCAAACGCGAAUGCAAAUGCAAAUGUUUCAGUCGCUGAUUGGACGAUCGGUUUUGCCGCAAGAAGUCCAAUCACUAACUGCAAAAUGUCUUUUCAAACACUCAAGUCUCGUUUGCUCCGUGGCGACCAAGUUAUUUCCAAUUCAUUACCUCCUAUGUCCGAAUAUAUCGGACAAUUUGUGGCCGGAGACAUGGCAAAUGUCGUUUUCGAGAAGGUGGUGAUGCCAGAAGUUAUUGGCGAUGUUAUUUGGGAUUUUCGGGUUGAGGUUAAGUAUGCAAUGCACAUAAAUGCUGGAGAUGUGACCGUUUUAGUAAUGGCGGUCUGUCCCGAUAUUCCGGUUAAAUUCACGACGGAUUCGGCCGGAAAUAUGAUGGGAUCGUUGCUUGGAAAUAUGAGACGGUGUGAUUAUAUAAUCCAGGAUCAGUUGCUUAAUCCUCUCCGAUCAUGAUGAAUCUAGUUAUGAUCUCUAUUUUUUUGGCUUUAGGUUAAUUUUAUUUUUGGCAACAUUAUUUUUUGUUUUACUUUAUUAGUUAGAUUUGAUCAAAUAAGAUAGGAUAUUAAGUAAUUAAGAACAUGGUUAUAAUCUAAUCAUCACAUCCCUUUUCUUUUCUGCCAAAGUUUUAAAUAGUCUAUAAUAAUUUGUUGAUGCUGAGAGUCUGAGAUCCAACAAAGUAUUUUUUGUAGUUAUUUAUCACGAUCGGAGUUCGGCAAUUACAAGACAUGGUUUUACAAUGCCGAGUAUUUUAAAAAAAUCUGUGUGAUCUUGUUUUACAAUUAAGGGUUCUCUUUUGUCUAUAUGUGAAUUUUUCUUUUUGCCUCUCCAAAUCGACGUUGAUCUGUUGGGCUGAACAGAAUAAUGGGCCGAGAUGAUUUAUCUUGUAGUUAGAGACAUCAAUGAUAAACCGCUUCCUUAUGCCGUUUUCAAAACGGUUGCAACGCCUAGCGACCGCGUGGUUUGGGAUCUCGAGGUUGAGGUUGUAUCUAGCGUUAAGAUAGACGGUUGAUCGGCCUGGGCGUUCGGGUAUUCGGUUCGGUUCUAGAACCAAACAUUUCGGUUCCUAGUAUUUUGGUUCUGAGAUUUAGGAACCAUAUUGGAACCAAAUCAAAAUCGGGUCGGUUCUGGUUCGGUUCCUAUUCGGGUCGGUUCUGGUUCGGUUCGGUUCCUAUUUGGUUCGGUUUGGUUCGGAUAAUAAAUUUUGGAACCGAGUAGGAACCAAAUUGUUUCGGAUAUUUUUGGAACCGAAAAUAAUAAUAGAAUCAUAAUGCAAAAUUCAAAUGCAAUUAUGUUAGUAUGCAAUACAACAUCACAUAUUAGUCAUUAUACCAUUACAAAUCCAAAAAAUAGUUGAAACUUGGAAAGUAUUAAGUCAAAAGACACUCAAAAUUUUAAAGAUACCACAAAACACAAGAGAGAGUUUUUGUCUGCUCUGUCUUUGAGAAAGAGAUAACAAAGUAGGAUUUUUAGGUUUAGGCGCAAAGAGGAAUAUAUAAGAGGCUAAGAAAGACUUUGGGUUAGGUUUAUGGUGGGCUAUUGGGCUUGGAUAGUUAGGUUUAGGAUUUGAUGGGUUUGAAACUUUGGGUUAUAUAAAUAUAGGUUAAUGGGCUAUAUUUCGGGUACCGAAUGGAUAUCGGUUCCUACCCAAACCGAACCGAUAUCCAUGGAUAUUUGAUUCAAGAUCCAAUCGAUAUUUUCACUAGAACCGGAACCGAACCGAACCCAUCAAUUUCGGUUCGGUUCGGUUCGGUUCUAUGUGGAUCCAUAUUUUUGCCCAGGCCUUGAUCCCAUCACAAAGAUGGUUUCUUGAUCUUGACUUGCGGCAAUAUACCGGUGAAUUUCACGGCAGAUCCGGCUGGAAAUGUGAAGGGAACGUUGCUCGGAUAUAUGAGGCCGUGUGAGUAGUAUUUAUUCCGGGAGGAGUUUCCACUCUCAUACUUUUAGUUUUUCUCUCUGAUUAUGAAUCUUUCUCUUUUACGAGUACUUACCUUUAGGGUUAGUGAAUUUUGUUUUCUUCGUUUUCAAUUUUUUUUUUUAAAAAGUUGAAAAUAAGAAAUGAUUAAGCGCUUUGUUAGUAACUCUUUUCUAUGCUUAAGGGUCUCCGCAAUCACAUGCUCAACGAUGGGUGCAAAUUUGUUUUCAAGCUAGAGGUUUUUUGAGUUAAGUAGAACUAAUGAUGGAACCAAAUAUAGUAACCAAGACGGAGAACAUCUUUUUUUGUACAAAGUACAAACUGCUUGAGAACCGUCUCUUGAUAUAUUUACCAACCUUAACAAUAUUUUGUAUGCAGAAGACAAGCGGGCUAUAUAUUACCGAAGAGUUAGGAUUACCAAUAUCAGUAUUGGACAUUUAAUGGUUAUAACUUAAACCCAGCUAAUCAUUUUUUAUAGAAACUAAAGAUUAUUGUUUAAAUUAUAUUUGAAUAUUAUUUUACAUAUAUUAAAAAAUUAAUAUUAUUGAAAGGGCCACAAUUUUUUAUUCAGACCGUCAUUUCCAUUUGGUCGGCCCAUAUAUGUUAUCUGAAUGUGAUAUACAAACUUAUUUAUUUCUAAAUUUCUAAAAAUAAAAAACGAUAUGCGUAGCUGCAUAAAGAAGAUUCGUCGUCUCCUCCAAAGUACUUUUCGUGGUAAUUAUUAAUUAAUACCAAAAACUGUGAAUUUCUUUUUUUUAUCUUCCAUCAGAGUUGAUCAGGACUAAAAACAGCUUUUCCUAAUUUCGCUUAAAGUUAAAAAGAAGCCCAUUGAAAAAAUUAAAGAAAGUGUCGCAAGAGUCAAGACUAUGGUUGUGUGAUAAUUUAAUAAUAUGGUUACAAAUAGAAACAUAGGAUUAAUUAAUAAUUAUGAUACAUUUACUCACGAGGCUCCAUUUACAUAAAUAUCCCUCAAAACUCCAUUACUAACCUUCCAAUUUCUUCACACACCAAACAAACAAAUCUCUCUGCAUCAUCCAAACGCAAACAAACUCUACAAUGACGGGGAGAGACUGCAACCAACACUACGACUAUGAGGAGAGGAGGAUGAGACGCAUAGUAUGGGGGGGAUUGCUUGGCCUAAUCGUGGCGGUUGCGUUCGUGGUGUUCUUGGUUUGGGCUAUACUUCACCCGCACGGACCGCGUUUUGUCCUCCAAGACGUAACCAUUAACGACUUCAACAUUUCUCAGCCAAAUUUCCUCUCUUCAAAUCUUCAGGUCACUCUCUCUUCUCGCAACCCAAACGACAAGAUCGGAAUUUUCUAUGACCGUCUCGACAUCUAUGCCACAUACAGAAACCAAGAGGUAGCAUUUUGCGAUAUUUGCUAUCUUCUUUUGUAUUAUUUGGUGCAAUGUAUGUAUGGAUCAGCUAAUUUUAGUAUGUUUUAACGUUAAAGUCACAAAACAUCACCCAUCUUUACAUAUGUCUAAGAAUUUCUUAGAAUCAAUUCGAUUUCACAAUUUUUUUCCUGUUAAAUUUAAUAUUUAUCAUCAUUUUGUAUUUAUAAUAACAAAUCUGCAAUGUUGAAAAACCAAUACCAACGAACAAUACCAACAUAUGCAUAUUUGUGUACCACUUGCAGAAUUAAUUUUCUUUUCUUUUCUUCAUCUUCUUAAAAUGUCAUCCUUUAUUCACGAAUAAUUAUAGAAUAUUUACAAGAAUAGAAGGCUCUAGAGUACUUACUGUUAAGGGAAAUAGAAAUUUGGCAGAAGCUAUUAAAGUUGAAAUACAAGAAAAAAUAAAGUCUUUUAUAAUAUGUUUACAGUUUCUAAAAUGUUUUAAAAGACUUUAAAACAUUUAUAAGGUUUUGAUUUUCUUCUUCUAAGCAUUUACGUAUUAAUGUAUUAAUUCUAACUUUAUUUUUUCCUAUUAAUUAGGUGACGGUGGCGAGGCUAUUGCCGUCGACGUAUCAAGGACAUCUGGAAGCGACGGUGUGGUCACCGUUUCUGAUUGGCUCCAACGUGCCGGUGGCUCCUUACCUGUCUCCGGCGUUGAACGAAGAUUUAAUCGCCGGGAUGGUGCUUCUCAACAUCAAGAUAGACGGUUGGGUUAGGUGGAAAGUGGGCUCGUGGGUCUCUGGCGGUUAUCACCUCCACGUUAACUGUCCGGCGUUCAUUACCGUCACCGGAAAGUUAGUCGGCGCCGGUCCGGCGAUCAAGUACCAGCUUGUUCAGCGAUGUGCUGUUGACCUAUCUUGAAGAGUCUUUUUUUUCCUAAGGAAUAAAAUGAUAUAAAAGGUAAAUUAGAGAAAAUUGUUGUUGAUUUGGCUUGUUAAUUAAUUUUUCUAAAGGCUGUUAAAAACUUAAAAGAACAAAACGCUAAUUAAACCUUUUCUUUUAGCAUAUAGUAAGUUCACAUCAUCACAUGUAUUCCUUUUUAUUAAUAUAGUUUUUUAGUAGUAAAUAAUUUUUAAUUAAUUAGACAAACGUAUGAUAAACAAAGAUCCUUAUUUAGUUAAUACUCAUGUUAAAUUUCUAUGGGUUUUAGCGUAUUGAUAAUAUAGAUAUAAUUUAACCCAUGAAUGUAAUUAAUUAGUUGACAUUUUUAGUACUCUGCAGUCUGCAAACGAAAUUGUCAGGAUUAGGCAAAGCUUACAAGAGUGGUUUUAUUUUCUAGUUGGAUAUAUGACUCACAUGACAACGACUAUGCAGCUGCUGGUCUUUAUGGAAUGAAAUAUUUAAAUAUAAAACACCCCAAAAGUAUAUUUUAAAAUUAGCUAACUAGAGUUUAUACUUAUUGUUAAAAAUAGUUUCAUAUGUUUUUGGAUUAGAAAAUUCUGAAAAUGUACUAGAAGAUAUUUUCGGAUCAUAUAUCAUGGGGACAUGACAAAAUCAUAUAUACACAGUUCACUUUGUACUAAACAUCAGUUCCUUUUGUUGCUAUUGGUUUGUUGGCCUGUUGCCUAUUGGGCACUAAAUAUUUAGCUUCAAAGACUUUUUGUCAUAUGAACUUGAAUGCGGACUUCCCGAGUAAAUUAAUUUCUUCUCAGAAUUGUUUUCUUAUAGAUAGCUUUAGCUUUAAAAAUGAUUAUCCUAGUUUCUCUUAUAAUUUGCAGACAUUAUUAGUUUUUUUUUUUUAAAUGUAGUGAGCUAUAACAAGGAGCUGAUUUGUAAGAACUUUAAAGACUUUAACUUAUUUUAAAAGUAUGAUAUUGUGUAAUAAAAAAAAUGAUACUAUGUAACAGAUGACUUAAUAAUACAUGUGAGUUGUGAAAUCAUCGUCAUGUUGGUGACGAGUGACGACAUUUGCACGCCUUACGGUGUAUGUAGCGUGAAGCACAAUAAUCCUUUUCUUUUCUUUAGAGUUUAGACAUAUAUCAUCAAUUUCUUUUCAUAAAAUACAAAUACAAAAACUAACUUCAACUUGAUAACGUGAGAGAAAAGAAAAACACUUUUUUCCCACCUUUAGAACUUUUUGUUAUUUUAUAAAAGUUUGGUUUUACAUAUUCUGAAAGCAAAAAAGAAAAAUUGAUAACUACUUUAGCGAAUAUUCGUCAAUAAACUUUGUUACUUUGCAACUAAACCCACACUUGUCUGUAGAGUGUAGUUCACUUUUUUGUGCGUUUGUUGCUAUGUAUCCACGUUUAAACCAUAACAGUUGGCCCAAAACCAAAACGUGAAAGCUAAUGGGCUUUUUAUGUUGUUACUGGGCUUAGCCCAAAAAUGACAUACAGCCACAGAUACGACACCGGUUUUGUUUGGACUGGAGAAGAUUCACUGCAAAGCGCUCUCUAGUGUCUGGUCAGAAAUUCUUUUUCAACUCACUUUCGGUUUCUGAUGUUUUGUCUCUCUGAUUGAAAAUAGGUAAAACUCUCUAAAUCUAUAUUAAAGCGCUACGCUUAAUUUUCUGGCUAGGUUCUUACCUGAUUAUUUUUGGUAUAUAGUGAUGAUAGAAAUUGAAGUAUUUUUUUCCAAUUUCCUCAAUGCUUUGGGGCUUUUAGUAUUCAUGAAUGAUUUGAUUUCUAUAAGAGAAAUUAUGGGUUUCAGAAGACGAGAUUUUUCUAGAAACUUAAGAUUUUUUCCUGAUGAUAUCGUUAAUUACAAGAUAUUAAUCAUAUUAUCAUGUUCAGUGUUCACCAUCUUGAAGAAUUGACUUGAAUUCGUCGUGAUGUCUGAUCUUGAGACAAUGCUUUGUCCUUGAGGUUCUUAUGAUUUUUCUGACAUAUUGGAACAAGAUAGGCUAUUGAUGCUUAUGUCAUUGUAAAAUGGAUGCUGAAUUGAUUUACAUAGGUUGGUUUGUCAAUAUAGGUUUAUGAAAGGCCUUGAUGGUCCCAAGGGUGAUACUUGUAUAGUUUCUGUAGAAACUCUUUAGUCUCUCCUUUUGCAGAUGUUUAUAAUGUUGUGUUAUCGGAGGUUGUACAUUUGCAACAUCAGUGUGAAUGUGUCUUAAAAUUGUAGAUUGUGUUAAGCUUAGGGUUAUGAAUAUAGCAAAUUUAUCUUGCAGAAUAGAUGAUUUAUCUUCAUGGAGCUGGAUUAUGUGAUCUUCAGUGUUUUCAAUUCUUUAUGCAGGAAUUAUCGGGGUUUCCCAAGAUGGGAAACAAAGCUACAACGGUGAAAGAAGAACGGGAAGAGAUCCACUUGAAGAUUGUACCUCCAUUGGACAAAGUUUUUCUACGUUGGCUCGCGAGAGAUCUACAAAGAUUUCAUGGAUUCAAACCGAAGAACAACACUAGUGCGAUCACUCCUCCAGAUAGCUACAUCGAGUUUAUGCGGUUAAAUGGAUCGCUUGAUGUGGAUUUAGAUGACCCUGAUCUUGCCCAUUUGUUCAAGUAAAAAAGUUCUAUUGGUGUCUGUGUUUGUUUUGUAUGAAGCCUUCCAAAGUCUUAGUAACUCUUUUGAUUACUCAUACUUAAGCUUGUGUUUUGGAAACUCUCUAUAAAUAUAUAUUUAAUCUUCUCUAACAGUAUAGCAUUCAAAUGAGAUCCAAGUGUCUGCAUUUUGAUGACACAUGUUUCUAUUGUCUUGGUGCUAUGAUUCGGAAUCCCUAGGUUUCGAGGUUCCAAAAUAAAGUGGUUAAAUCAUGCGACACUCAUGAACAUAAUUUUUCUUAGGGUUUAACUGGAUUUUAUUGAGACAAAACAUAAAUUGCUUUAUAAUGCUCAAAUUUAUUGAGGUUUUUUUUUGUCAAUGUCCUAUUUUCAUUUUUAUAUUUUUGGCCCUUCUACGAAUAUUAAAAAAUAAAAACGUAUUAUGUUCGACAGAUUUUGACGAUAAUUGCUCACGCUUUAACGCGUGUAACGGAUGCAACAGUUGAUGGAAUUAUCAAUUAUGCUCCAAUUCUUAACAUGAAUAAAUCCAAAAUUCACAUUUUUUUUUCCCUCCUCAAUCUCAAGGAAAUAAAACUGUAUCCAAAUUAGUUACAUUGCUUUAUUAACUUCGUUGACUUAUUUAUUUAUUUGAUAAACAGAUAUAAUAAUAUAUAUUUUUAAUAUAGAUAGGAUUAUAAUUUAGUUGAGAUAUUGGUAAAAGAUUGUGUACAAGAGAAAGCGCUAAUUCCCUCCACAUCAAUAUCUGAACCAAACGCAACUCAUUCCCUCGUUUUCUCUCUUUCUCUUCCACCGUCUCUUUUUUUUUUUUUUUAUCCUUCUUCUUCUUCUUCUCCUCUCCCGCUUUUUUUCGAUUCGCCGAUCUCUUCACAUUCUCUCCCCGGAAUCUCCGUAAUUCUCGCCGUAGAUCUGCUUCCUAAUCCCUAUUAGGAUCUCUGCUUACCGGAGAUCCGAAUUCCCGGACAAUCUCCGCCGUUUCUUUUUUUUUUUGGGGGAUUUUUAUCGAGAUUCGUUCUCAUGUCUGAAGAACCUCCACAAUUUCCACCUUCUAAGCGGCAGCUUCAUCCUUCUCUGUCGUCUAUGAAACCUCCGUUAGUUGCUCCCGGCGAGUAUCACCGGUUUGAUGCGGCGGGAGGUGGAGCUGCUGAUCAGGUUGUCGUCUCUGAUGCGAUUGUUAUUAAAUCUACUGUAAGUCUUUUUUUUUGUUUUCUUCUCAAUUUUGCUUUUAUAAUUCUCGUGUUUCGAUUGUGUGUGAGGCUUUGAUUAUAUUGAUUUAGAUUUUGAGGAUGUCGUAGCUUUAGAUUUUGAUGAGAGUUGCGUCGGGAUCUGUUUCCGGUGGUGUUAAUUGCGUUUGGUCUCCUUUGAUUUGGCUCGUUUGCAGUGUAGGAUUUAGCAUUGCAAGUUAAUAUUGACAGUUUAGUUGCUGAACUUAGGGUUUGUGGUGUUACUGUUAUUGCUAUUUAGAGCAGAUUUAUCCUUUUUUUUUUUUUUUUUUUUUUUUUGCUUAUGUUUAGUUAAUUUACUGAAUUUAGCUAUGUUGGACUUUUGGAAUUUGAAGUUUUGUCUAUGUUUUUAGAUUUCAGCCUAGUGACAGUAUGAUGCUAAUUGGAUAAGAUUCUGUUCAAUUCUUUGAUGUAUUUAACUGUUCAAUUCUGGUGACUUUAUUGGCAGCUGAAGCGUAAGACAGAUUCGGUUAACGAAAUAGCUGAGCCCAAUGAAUUGAAUACUGGUGUUCUUCAAACACCUGUAUCAGGGAAAGGAGGGAAGGCCAAGAAAACUUCUAGGUCAGUGAAGUCUAAUAAGUCUGGAACGCAAGCUUCUGGUUCUAAUGCAGGUGAGUUUGGUCUUGAAUGCUCUGUGUUUACUUUCUAUCUACAUGGUCGACUGUUACUUACGUACUUAUCUGUUCUAAACCUUAUUUAUUCGUUUAAUUGCAAUGAAAGAAAGAGUGGGAGUUAUUGCAAUGUAGUAUGAAGGAUCUUUUGUGUUGGCAGGUUCUCCUGGAAAUAACUUUGCACAGGCUGGUACUUGUCGAUAUGAUAGUUCGCUAGGUAAUAACUUCUUUCACAAACUAAUGUUCAAAGAAAUGUUCUUUUGGAUAAUAAGUUUUUAUUUAUAAUGAUUUAAUCUGCUUCAGGUCUUUUGACUAAGAAGUUUAUCAAUUUGAUAAAACAAGCAGAGGAUGGUAUUCUUGAUCUAAACAAAGCAGCUGAUACUUUAGAGGUGACAUAUUUAAAAUCUAGACUGUCUUCUUGAUGUAGUACUUUCUGUCAUAUCUUAACUGGCGUGUUCCUGUUGAUGUUGCAGGUACAAAAGAGACGGAUAUAUGAUAUAACCAAUGUGUUAGAAGGAAUUGGUUUGAUAGAGAAGACGCUCAAGAACAGAAUUCAGUGGAAGUAAGCAUGUCUUCCAACUGUCAAAUCUUGGAUUCCUUCCAUUUGAUGCCUCAUGUGUGAGUGACGGUACUCUGAAUUUUCUUGUCUUUCUUAGGGGUCUCGAUGUCUCAAAACCAGGAGAAACAAUCGAAAACAUAGCUAACCUACAGGUACAGAACAUGCUUAUGUAUAUUCAUUUACCUUUCAAUCACACAUUUCACUGCAAAUUCUGUUAUGCAAUGCUCAGUAUUAUCACCAGUUUCAUUAUUAUUUUUACGUUUAGGGUAUAUGCUAGCUUACAUUGUCUUCUUGAACAUCGUAUGAAUCUGCAUUAGUAUUGUUCUUGUUAUACCUGUUUUCUGAGACCUAAAUGUGUUAGGGGGUAACUAGGAUACUAGAAAAUAUACCACAAACACAAACAUCAAUGACAUGUAAGCACAAGCUCUGCUUGUACACCCCUACUAGAACACUUGAAUGAUUAAAUUUUUGUUUAAUGUUUCAACCUGUUGAUAAAGUGGAUAAUUGGUUACUGCAAUUUUUCUUCGAUCUCAGUCACUUGCAUUGAUUUCUUGUUUUGGGUUUUUGGUUCGGAAAAACUAUUUGUGUUUUAUAAAUUCCUGUUACCAAUUUUACAUUUUAGUAACUCUCAAUCCUUUUACAGGAUGAAGUACUAAACCUCACAGCUGAGGAGGCAAGAUUAGAUGACCAAAUCAGGUAUUCUCGUAGAUCAUUUUUCUUUCCUUUUCUGCUGUUUUGUAUCUUGUUGAGAAUCGACCUGGUUGCAGAGAAUCACAAGAAAGAUUAACAAGCUUGAGUGAGGAUGAAAACAACAAAAGGUAAGCUUCUCCUGCUAAUUUCUUUUUGCGAAAGGUACAAUAGAACAUAUCUGUUUGUUCUGACGCCCCUCUUUUUUAGGUUACUGUUUGUCACUGAAAACGACAUUAAGAACCUACCAUGCUUCCAGGUUUGGUCCUAUUAGUAAUUACGUGUUUCUCUUUGCCUUGCAUUCUUCUCACUAAGGAAACAAUGUUUUUGUGGCGUGUCUCAUACCUAUUUUUAGAAUAAGACGCUGAUAGCUGUAAAGGCACCGCAUGGAACAACUCUUGAGGUGCCAGAUCCUGAUGAGGUAAGCUUAAGAACACACAACACCAAAUGAGCGAUGCACUGUCUAUAACUAUUUCUAUCUCUUAUCCUGCCAUUAAUCAGGCUGGUGGUUAUCAGAGAAGAUACAGAAUCAUUCUGAGAAGCACAAUGGGACCAAUAGACGUGUACCUAGUCAGGUAACCCUGUCCUCAAACGUUAUGCUUGCCAUUGAUAAAUUUGUAACAUGAAAGCGAGACUGACAUUUAUAUUGUGCGUUUUUAGUCAAUUCGAAGAGAGCUUUGAGGACAUUCCUCACACUGAUGAACCUUCAAAUGUUCCUGAUGAACCUUCAAACCUUCCAUCAACAUCUGGUCUUCCUGAGAACCAUGAUGUAGCAAUGCCAAUGGAAGAGGACAGCACCGAAAGGAACAUGGAAACACAGGAACUUGAUGAUACGCAAAGAGUUUACUCUGAUAUCGAAUCUCAUGACUUUGUCGAUGGUAUCAUGAAGAUUGUUCCUCCAGAUUUGGAUGUAAGUCCCAACUGCUUCCUCAGCUUUAAAUUAUUUUCACCAUAUACAUAAUCACAGUCCAGAAACUUCAGAAAGCAACAAGGAUCAUAUCUUGAAAAUCAUGCUUGACUUAAUUCAUUAUUUACCUAUAUGUUACAUUAUAUACAGCUCGGUGUAGAUUACUGGUUUCGAUCAGAGGUCGGCGAAGUCAGCAUCACAGACAUGUGGCCAGAUGAAUGUAUCCUUGAUUUCUGUCACUUUCUCUGAUCUAAUCUAAUCUAAUCUAAUCUCUCUUUGAGCUUUCGAGUUUUUUCCUCCCCAAUUAGAGCUCCUUAACUCUUUCAUCAUUAGCUGGACCGGACUGGAACCAGAUGAUUACAUUUGAUCAAGACCACGCUGGACCGAGCGACACAGCCUUGGAGCAGCCAAAAACUCCAUCGAGCCCAACACCAGAAGAUUCCACUGCUACGAGAUCAUCUACAGGUAGCUGAAGUUACCAUACCACAUUACAAGUACCACCAUAUAUCUGUACAUAGAGAAUCUGAUUUCAGUGAAUCGAGAGUUCAUGUUGUACUUGUACAGUAGCUGCAUUGCGUUAUCAUAGGAUAGAGAUUGAAAAAUAAAAGUAGAGAAACCAACCACCUCGUUGUAUUCUUCAUUUUUUUUUCUUAGCUUCUCAGGCUUAUAUAGAAUUAGCCUUAACCCAUUGAUUUCUUAGUAUUGGUCUUGUUCAUGUGAAAGUGCAAAACCUUUUAGAUUUCUUUCAGUCGGGUUUACUAAAUGGUUACGGAAUCGAAAUCAAAUUAUAUUUCGGUAGUUUUAUAAUUUCAGUUAAAUUAGUAUUUUGCUUAAUUUUGUUUCGGUUUUCGAGAUUUUAGUUAUGUUUUAGUCAAAAAAAAUUUGGUUUAUUAAGUUUUGAAUUCUGAUUCAAAUUGGUUUUCACUUUUCAGUAUAAACCUAUUAUUAAUUGGUUUGGUUUGGUUUGAGUGAUUUCAUUUUUGGUUGGAAUUGGUUUCUAUGUCCAGUCCCUGAUAAUGACGCACAAUAUAACUUUGAAUUUACCUCAAGAUGGAAUUAUUUUUCUUAGAAAAAGAGAAAUCCAUCAAAAUUGUGCAUCUCCAAAGCAAUGAGCAAUGCUGAAUCUCCAAGCGAAGUUAAAAGAAAAAAGGUUCCUCUAUUAACAAACUUUCCCACACCAACAUCCUCACUCAAUAAUCUCAACUUGUUUUUUCUUCCCUUUUGGUAAAAAAAUGCAUUUGAAGAAGAAGAUGAAGAAUGCACUCAAAACCAUAUUUAGUCCAAUUUUUAUGGCGUGUGGUUGUUGCGGUUGCGGCUCUACCGUUCUGCCUUCCUCUCACAACCACUACUACACCCCGGGACCACCGGUUUCUCCCACGGUUUUACGCAGCCCAUGUCCUAAGAUCGAUGAAAGCGUCGCGAUGGCUAAGGAAUCAAUCAAUCCGUUCGAAGAUUACAAGAAGUCGAUGAACCAGAUGAUCGAAGAGAGAUAUAUCGAGACUGAAGAUGAUCUUAAGGAGCUUUUAAGGUGUUUCUUGGACAUAAACCCUUCUCCUCAACACAAUCUUAUCGUCCGUGCUUUUGUGGACGUCUGUUCACAGCUACGGCCAGCACACGACCGUCGUGGGAAGUCACUUGGGAGAUUGCUUCGUCUAUAUGUUAACAAUCCUCUUGAUAGUAAUGAUAAUGACACACACCAAACCUCUUCGUUUAAGAUGAGGAACUGAUCCUCAUGUAUCUCUCUCUAUAUAUAUAGAUGAUACAAUAUCGUAAAUAAUUUGAUUUUAUGAUUCGCAUGCAAGAGCAAGACUAUAUGUAAACCAUUAAACAACAACCACAAAAAUCAAGAUUUGCAUGAUGUUUUCCAAUUUCAUUAGAGGAUAAGUGGAUUAUGGUUUACACAAUGUGAAUUAUGAUUACAAAGUUAUACCUCAAACUCAAAGGCAAGCUCAAACAAUAUUUCAGUGCACACAAAGUUUUGAAGAGUAAGAAUAUGUUAAGCAAUAAUUCACAUUUUAAUUAAAAAAAAAAAAAUCACAUUUGAGUUUUUAGGUGUCAAAUACAGUUUUCCUAUUUUAUUCCGUUUCCAUUCGGAUUUUUAAAUUUUAAUUUUGGUUUUGUGUUAGGUUUAAACAGAGUUUUGCACAAAAUGUAAACUUAAAAAGUUAAUUAAAAGUUUCAUUUUGGCCUCAGUUAAUUUAUAAACAAAUAGAAAACCAAAUUGAUUUGUUUCGUUUAUGAUUUUGGUUAAUAAACGAAGAAUGAAUAAAAUAAUUUCGAUUUCCACUGUUUUAAUGAAUAACAAGAAUGAUUAAUUGAGUUCCUCAAAAAACCUCUAAACCAUACAAAACUCCGGCGUGUUUCUCCGCCCCAUCCUCAACGAAAUACAAAUCCCUCAUCCUCUGAAACGCCUGCCACGUCAGCAAACUAUCCGAACCGGCUUGAUGACAUUUCCCAACCGCCCGGUUAACUUCAAGCGACCGAGCAACCCGGUCCAAACCACCGUACAAUCUCCUCUGCUCACAGAACCUCAUAAUAUGUUUCACAUCAUAAACCCUCUCACCGAAGAAAGCUCUAAGCAACCGUAAAAACUCACGCAACGCUACCGGAAGCUCCCGGCGCGUGAGAAUCUUCACAAGGUAACCGAAAUCGUACGCGCUGUGAAACGUCACCCAGCUCACAGACUCGUUACAGAUCAACCCCGAUGACAUCAUCAGCUCCGCGAACCUCCCCGAUUUAACACCUUCGCGACGGUUCCGCUCGAAAUCGAUCCCGUGACGACGGAGCAGCUCGAUGGAAUCAGGAGCGUGUGGAUCACGCUCCACGUCGAAGUCACGGAAAUUGAAUUCCCAGAUGAAUCGACGGUUUUGAACGCCGAGAUCUGGGAGGUUUCCGUCGGCGUCAGAGAGAGUAAGACCGACUUGGAUUAAGCUUAGAGCAUCGACGUUGGAUUUGAGAAGAUUGUAGAGAUAAUUAGGAUUUCCAAGACGGAGAACGGCGAGAUCUGCCUUGAAAAUCACGCCGGGGAAUUCUGUAUCCAUGGAGAUGAAUGGGUAAGCUUCGACGAUUCCGCUGAUUAGUUCAAACUCUGACUCGAGAUUGUCAGCCCAAACGUCACGAAUCACGAUACCAACAUCGGAAUUGAUCAUAGUUUCAAAUCGGAAAUCGAAAGUCCCGAUCUUUUAGGUCUUCUUCUUCUUCUUCUUCGUCGUCGUGUAUUAAAAGUCUCUGUUUUUUUUUUUUCGUGAUGAUUUUGUUAAUCAGCAAGGUUUAGUUAUAUAUAUGUAUAGGUGUAAGUAAGAGUGUGUUACGAGGAAGGAGAGGAGGAGGAGAAGUGUGAGAAACGCGCACGUUUUGAUUCACUGUGUUUCUUGACUCGGUCUAUUGGUCUAAGUUGGCUUCUCCUUUGUAUCCAAUUAUUGCAAUUCAAGUCGUUGUAUUAAACGAAGUACAUUACGCCGACAACGUUACGACUUACGACCAAUGAACUUACCAGGAAUAUUGCUAUAUUACCAAUAAACACACUGAAUAUGUAACGCACUAAAAACGCAUUAAAGGGUUGAUUAAUUAGAUUACGAUAACUACAUAUCUUAUAGUAUCAAAGAUAGUUAGGUGAUAUUUCCUUUUGGGACAAUAUUCGAUUUUUUUAAUUUAUCUCUUUUUUUUUUUUUUAUUGUGCUUUAAAGGUUUUGUAUGCCCAAAAUUCUAGCAACGACCUGCGUUGAGCCCAUUUUAAUCCUUUAGAUUCUCGAAUUUUCAGAAAACAGAGAACACAUCUUCUCUAGUAUUGUCUGCUUGAACAUCGUGUAGGAUCAUAUAUAGUUAAACAUGACUGUUUUUCUUUCAUUUCCUGUGUUUGCAAUAACUUUUUAUUGUUCAAUGUUAAUGAAGAAAUAACUUAUCAAUUCCAAAUGCAGAGACUACAACAUAUUACGAGAGCUAGUGUGAGAGUGGGGCAAGCCACAUAAGAGGGGUAUUAGUGAGAGGGAGAUCAUGGAUUACAUCGGUGGCAAGGUCGUAAACACCGCUAUGAUUAGCUGCAGCAAAGUAAAUGGAAUUAGGCUUUAGGCCUGGGAACAUACUCGCUUGUAAACAAAAGGCUUCAGUACUUUGACCAAGGAAGAUGCAGAGAUCCCCAAUGUCAUACGUGUAACAAUCCUCAUCCUCUCUGUAAACCAUAAACCUCUUUGUUUUUUUCACCACCUCUUCUUUUUUCAAUUGCUUAUGAUGGUCCUUCCAAUGGACCGCCUUUGUACCGUGGGAGAACUGAAUAAACCUGCCUCAACGCAAACCAAGUCAUGCACUUUGUCAAUAAGAAAGAAAGCAAUAAAAGAAAAAAGUUUUGAUUACCACAUGAUGUCAAAAACUUCGCCGGUAGGCGACUCCACCAAGUGUUCAGUGUGGAAACAAGACUCUAGCAGCUCAAACUCCGACCAUAGCAAAUCAGGUAACUUGAGACGGUCAAAUUUGUGGUAAUAAGUCACCUCAGGGAAAUCUUGGUGACCCAGCGGCUUGUACGUGCUAGCAUCAAAUUUUAUGGCAGUGAAGUGAAGCUUGGAGACAAGCCUAAAGGUUGUCAAGUAAAACUUGGAAUCACGAUUGGAGUAGAGGACACUGGAGCAAUCCAAAAGUUUUGAAGAAGUUUCCGUUUUGGUCCAGGCUGAGUCACCAGGCCUACAGAAACACAUCCGACCUCCAAAAAACUUGAUAGCCACAACACAUGAGUCAUCAGGGGAAGAGGAGAGCGACAUGUUGAUAAUGAUAUUAUCAGCACAAUCAGGCUCCAUAGGAGGCAAGGAUAUGACUUUGUGAUUGAACAUGUUGGUGAGAUAGAGGCUUCUAGGAUCAUUAGAAUUAAUGAAACCAACCCACCCUCUAGACGAUCCUAUGUAACGUGAUGGAUACGUCAUCAUCCCCUGGUUAGGUAUUACCAUCUCUUCUUUCCUCGGAUCGUAAAUAUUCAUUGAAGAGCGUCCUCCUGGCAAAGCAACUUUCGUAUUUAACAGGUAUGGAGACGACAGCACCAAUGAGGACAGUAACCGAACCCGCUUCUCUGCUUGAAUCUGUCCCAACAUAAAUGUAAUUUGUGAAACAGCAAGAGAAAACAAAUAAAAAGAAACACUGUACAAAACAAAACCAGAUAGAGAGGGUUUACGAUGGCACCAGCUGAGUUUCUAAGACCAAGUUUCCACAUCCUACAAAGAAAAACCAGAGACAUAUAUUUAGUCUUCUCUUAAGCAUUUCAUCGAACAUGUUGUGUGCGCUUGUAGAAGAGGCCUUCACACUCAAUCAUGAAACACUCAAUUAUUUCAUGAUUUUAUUUCCCAGAAUUUAACUAACAAUAGAGACAAUGAAUUCUAUGUAAAGGUUAGUGACUCAGAAUAAUUGACAGUGACACGCUCAAUUUGCAGCAACUAUUGAAGAACAAGAGUUCAAUCAUCGACCAAGCAGAAAACGAAAACAGAUUUGCACAUUUGGAGAAGAGGAGAGUGAAGAACUAACGUAGGAGAAGCACAAACAAGUUCUGGGGGAGGUGAAUCGUCGUCGUCAAAGUCGCUCACGAAGACUCCAUAGAGAGAUCAAUUAUAGAUGAAUUGUUUCGGAGUUUUGUGACAAGGACAAAAUUGUCUUUUCCUCUUUUAACUGGGCUUUUAAGGUUUUGCAUACCCAAAAUUUUCAAUCUAAUAGCAACAACGAAGCCUGCGUUGAGCCCAUUUUCAUUUUCCUCAAGUCCUUGUUUUCUGUAAAUUUGUUUCUCAAUAGGUUUUCAUCUAAUAGUUUUGUUUUUUUUUUUUUUUUUUUUUUUUUUUUUUUUGUUAAAGAGAAGAUUAUUAGUUGCAAUGGAUUUCAUCUAUAAAUUUUUUUUUUUUUUUAAAUUGGUUUUGGUAUAAUAGUUGUUGUUUUUUCUUUGAUAUUUCCCCACAAAUAAAUACACGUCGAUGGAGGAGUAUAAUUUAUGUAUUAUGAGUAGACCUAAAGCUAGAAAAAGAAAGUUUAUACUAACAUAUAUGAAUGGUUUAAGGUAAAAAAGAGAGAGGAAUAAGAUGUUGGUCACAACUUUGACAAAGAAAAAUGCGAGGAACUUCCUCAUUGUGUUGAACGCCAACACACCUUGUGUGUUGCCAUACUUCACAUAUAUCACAACACACCAUUCUCUCCCCAUCUUCUUCCUUUGCUCCACACUCACACUCAAUUCUCUUAUCCUUCUUUUUAUCAUCAUCUUCAUAACAUUUCAUCACUUCAAUGUUCAUCAUCAUUCCUACAUUCCCUUCUAACACCAAUCCUUUAUUCCAAUUCAUCAUGGCCAUUUCAUCGACCCUUAUGAUCUCUCUUUGACCAUCUGCCAGUGACUCCACCACGACGUCUCUUAGUUCCCAAUAGAUCUCUCUAAACACUCUUUCUGCCUCUCCAUACACUUCACUCAAUGUUGCAUCUUUCUUAACCACUAUGCAUUCUUGUGGAGGAAUUUUAAUCUCGUUAUUAUGAUGAUGACAUUUCCAUGCGAUCGUGCAGAAUAUUCCUAAUUUGUUCCCUCGAUCUAAAUGUAAUGUUUUGGCCGAUGUAUCCCUAAUGUAGUGGUACUCUUUGAUGAAGUACUUAGCAUCGAGGAUUGCUCUAGAAGCCAUUCCGAUUUGGUUCAAUAUGCCUCCUAUGGGGCCUAAAACUCCCUUGUAGUCCAUGAGAAUGUGUUUGUAAAAAUAAAACAUGUCUUUCAUCACUUGACCUCUUGUGAUCUUAUUGUGACCGUUCGUCGCCAUCUUCCCCAUUGAGUUUUGAUUUUGAAGGGUUAUGAGUUCAUUGUUACUACUUGGUAACAAAUUUGAUAUGUCCUCCAAGCAAUACUCUAGCACUUUCUUCACCGGAUUUAGACUACGUCGGACCAAAUAGUUUCCAACCACCUGGUUCCCGAGCGACUUCAACACAAAAUCAAGCAAACCUGUGUCCCCGAUGUAAUUUCUAGCUGCGUCCCUCACUUCUUGCCUCGAUAUCCAUCGGUAUUCGACUCUUUUUAAUGACUCUAUGACCACUUUGAUAGCCAUUUGGAUCCGUUUUUGAGACCAUCUGCAGUUGCUACUAUCAAUGGAAAUGAUUUGGUUUCGGGAGUUAUUCAUGUAGUUAUCUCUUGGAAGACGCGAAUGGAGAUUAAGCAUGAACCUGAAGAGGUCACUGAGAGUUAUCAAUGGCUCAGUGGAUAAACUUUGGUACUUUGACAAGAGGAUUGGAGUUUCUCGGUUAAGGCUGGUUAGGUGAUGGUUAAGCAAGCACAAGGGUAUGUUACGGACCGAUUCAAGUGCCUUCUCGUAAAUCUUUUGAGUCACUCCGUAUGUCCCUGACCCAAACCGGUAGCCCCAACGACCGAACCAUGGCUCUCCUUUUGCUACCCCAUGCAGCAGCCUCAGCUCCAUUCCUUUUUUGUGCGAUGCAUCAUUCAACCCUAUUUUCCUAUAUUAAACAUAAAUAAAAUGACUGAUUAUUUAUGUGUAAAUCCAAAUUAAUAGCUAGGAAAAAUCCAUUAUGAUAUAUGAAAACUAGCAGAAUUGUGUUGAAUGGUUUAUAUGAUAUACAACUAUAUAUAUAGUCUUAGUACCUGGCCUUUAAACCGGUGCAGAGCCGGUCCCACAAAUCCAUGACUUGGUGACCGGUUAUGUCGGAGCCGGUUUCAAUGCCGUUGACAGAGAGCAAGUGACCAAAUCCGUUAGAGUGAAACAAGCCGUGAAGGACAUGGCCUUGAAGGUCAACCAAAUGGGAGAGACUUUCCUUUUCAGGAAAAAUGUAGCCUCCACCUUCCAGUUUUAGAAAGGCGGCCAUCGUUUCCUUUGAGGGGAUCACGAAAUGGUACUUCUUGUUGCAUAUCAUUUGGUUUCCCCAACCUGCAAGUUUCCAUAUAAACCAUUGUAUACUAUAUAUUUUUGAUCUUUAUAUAAAUGCAUCACUUUUAACCAUAUCAAAUUAUUAUUGCUAUUUUUGUUCAUAAGUACGUGUAAGCAUGUAUAGAUAUGCAAAGAAAAAUGCUUACAUGUUGAGCUAGGUCAAUUCUUACUAAAUUUUCAGCUUAUGAUCUUAGUUCAUGUACACAAAUGUAUUCGCAUGCAUAGAUAUGCAAAAGAAAAAUUGUAUACACACAGAGAAAGAAGGGAAAAGAGAGAGAGGACGUCACCAACAUAUUGGCAAUGGUUGCAACGGAGGUUGAGAGAGGCUUCGAUGGGCUCUUCUACUACAAAGAGAAGCACAUAAAGAGGAUUUGGGUGGCGUUGAAUCUCGAGCUGAAAAGACCAACUUCCCAUGAGACCGGAGCUCUCAAAGUGACCAAAAUCAAGUAGUUUCGCGAGGUUGUCACGAAAAGACAACUCGUUCAACUCAGCUGGAUGUCCUGACUCUCCGAACGUCUUCAGCCUGAAAACCCUACUUUCCCCUCUCUUCCUCUUUUUUGGAAUAUGCUGCUGAUGAUCUGUUCGAAUCAGAUUCGCCAUGGAAUCAGAACUUUGGUUUGAUCUUGACAAGAGGGAAUAUGAUAGAUUUGGAUAUAUAUUAUGAUCAGGGGCUUGUUAUAAGAAGAGGCCGAGAAGUGUUGAGGAAGUGUGUGAAGGGUUUAGAGAUAUAGUAGUCAUUAGGAUGAUGGUCACACAAUUAGUGCUUUGUGGUGAAAAGGAAAAGUGAGUGAGAGAAAGAGAAAGGUUAAAUUAAACUCUGAUUUAACAAUUGUUACUAUUGGAUUGGAUGUUAGGUCUUGAUAUGUGCAUGACUUGUAACAUUAACAACUUUUCUUUCUUAGACAUAAUACUUAAUAAAAAAAAACAUUCGAACCUCACUGAUUCCCAAAAUCUAUUUCAUUUUUUAAAAAUACUAGACGAAAGGAAUGAUAAUGCAAUGUCUCUGACAUUUUUAAUUAUACACAUAAGUAUUUGUGUAAAAUGUGUGGAAAUGGCAUGCAAAAAGAUCGAGGGUGAGGAAUGUCACGUGACUUGGGAACAUGAGAUGAUAAUAUAAUAAAAUAAUGAAGACAUGCAUUUGAGCUUCUCACUUUUUUAAAGAAUCAGAUUAACUCUGUGUUCCGUCAAUUUCUGUCAUGAGCUACCUGCACAUAUAUAUAUAUGCAUCUAUUAUAUAACACACACGUGUGUGUUUGCGUGGUUGGACAAACUUAAUUUAGUCGAUUUUUCAAGCUCGUAAAGUUAUGUUUUAAUUAAUAUGUAGUUUACUAGAAUUUAAUCCGCGGUAUACCGCGGAGCUAUAUUUUUUUUAAAAUGUAAUGUUAUUUUUUAAAAGAUUAACUGAAGAUAUAUCAUAUUAAUUUGUAUUUUUAAAUGUAGAUAUCUAUCUAUCAAUUUUUGAAGUAUAGAUACGAAAACAUACAUUUUUUUUAAGUAACGAUGUAUGGUGGAUUUUAAAAUUUUGAAUAUUUUACUCUGCAGUAUACCGUGGGUCGGUUUUUUUAUAAAUAAAAAUUUUAAAUUUAAGUUGGAUUUGUUUUGUUAAUAUUGUUUCUUUUGUUUUGUGUUUAAGAUUGUAUAAUUGUAUUUUGAUUGUUAAUUUUAGGAUUUCAUCCGUGAUAUACCGUUAUUUAUUAAUAUCGACCCAAACCCGUCAUCCCAUAUAAACCCAUCUAUAUUAUCUCGUUAGCUAAAUUAUUAGUAUUAUAAAAUCCAAGAAAAUAAAUUAUUAUUGUUAUAAAAUCUAAUAAUUUUAUGAUCUCACCCGUAGUAUACCGUUCUUUGAACGAUUUUAAAUUUAUACUACUAAUAUAUAUUUUAAAUUUAUCAUAUAAAGUAUAUGAUUUCAAGUUUUUAUGUUUUUUUUUUAUUUAAAUAAAGCAACGACUUAAAUGAUGAUAGAUAUAGUUCUUUUUCCUGUAUGUGUAUUUGAUUUUUCUAUGUGAAUAUUUUGAUUAUUAUAAAUUAGUAUUUUUAUUGCUAUGUAAAAUGUUAAUAUAAAUAUUUGCUAUAAAUGUUUUUGAAGAUAUAUGGAAAGAUUGUGUAGAGAUUUUUAGAAACAAAUUAGGCAAGAUAUUGUUUGGUUAAUAUCUUUUAUUUAAAUUUUGUAAAAGUAAUAGUAAAUGCCAAUGACAUUCUUUGUAAAUACUGCCCAACCCCAGAAUUUAUUUGCUAAAAGUGUUCCAAAAAUGUAUAUAUAGAUAGUUCAUCAAUACUAUAGUUUUAGAGACUUACAUAUUCAUCUACGGUAUGCUUUGUAUAUUGCUUCCAUGGGUGGUGGAUCUUGACCUGGAUGUGCCACUUUGUUUUGAAAUGUCGUUGUGGUAUAUGAAUCCAACAACCAUUUUUUGCUUUUUUGUCUUUUGUGAGCAAUUUUUUUGGAGUAACUUUAGGUUAUUUAGAAUGAUAAAAAUGAAAUGCUCUAUAUAUAAUAAAAAAAGGUCGGCUUAUGCAUUGUUAUUUUUUUUAAGUUAGAAAAGAAUACAUCAAUAUUUAGUUUAUGUUUAGGAAUAUGCUCUCAUAAAUUCAAAUAUCUCAAUUUAAUCUUCAAUUUAAUGUAUAAAAAAUUUUAAAUCAGCAUUCCGUAAUUUUGUUAUUUGAUAGGAUUACAUUCCAUAUUUUGUAGUUAUGUUUAAAUUGUAUUUGCUAAAAUAUCGAAAGAUUGCAAUCUUACCAAAUAUAUUCCUAUAACUAUGAAUUUUUUUUUUCCCGGAAAUUUAGUUUAGUAUUAAAAUCAUAUUAGAAAUAUAGAAUAUGGAUUUUGUUAUGUAUUUUGUUAUUUAAUUUUAAAUCAUGAUGGGAACAAUUUUAAUUCAUAUGUUUUCCAAAAUAAUUUAACUUAACUCAUAUUUCUAGGUGAUCUGGAAAUAUAUUAGUUAGAUUAAAUUAGUUAGACAAUAGUUAGUAAAAAGUAUAUUCUAGAUUAGUAGGAAUCUAGAAUCAUAACAUAUAUAACAAAAAGAUUUGAAAAUAUAUUUUAAAGGAUUUUUAGGAAACUGACUUACAGAUUAUAUCCAUGCGUGAUUAAGCAAAACAAAAUUUUAAAUUAUAAGAAACAUAAUAUAACAAACGAAAUCAAUAAUUGAUGAUAAAAGAUUUUAAGGAAACUGAAAAUAUUCUCAAAGAUUACGAAUUGAAGUAAUACACCAAUUCGAAUAAUACCUUUUGUUUAGAUAUAAUUCGAAUAAUAUACCUUUUGCUUAACUCUAUACGUGAAUAAUAACUUUUUUUUUUAUAUAAAUUUGAAUUAUAUAACAUUUUCAAUGAUAUAUCAUUUUCAAUUUUCAAUAACAUUUUCAAUUUUCAAUAAUAUUUUCAAUAACAUUUUCGAAUAAUGGAUUAGUAUAUAACAUUUUCAAUAACAUUUUCGAACUAUAUGAUUACUAUAAUUAAAAAUAAUAUUUUCUUUAUAAAUUCGAAUUAUAUAAAAAAAAAAUCAAUGAUAUAUCAUUUUCAAUAACAUUUUCGAAUAAUGGAUUAGUAUAUAACAUUUUUGAAUAAUUUAUUAAUAACUUAGGACGUUAAUAUAUGAUUACUAUAACUCAAAAUAACAUUUUCUUUAUAAAUUCGAAUUACAUAUAAACAAAAUUUUUUAAUAUCUUUAAACCCGUUUGACCCGUUGACCCGUUAAUAUAUAUUAGUGACAUGAAAUAAAAUGAUUAUGAUUAGAAUUAUCUAAUGGCAUAUAUUGUAAUUUCUUACAAAAUCAACGUUAUGAUCCUUAGAAUGUACUUCCCAAAUAUUAGUAUAGGAUUGAUUUGUGAUAGUGUCGAGCGAUGAUUUGCCACCACUUUUGUCACACCCACAAAAUUAUAGUUAACUAAAAACAUUAAUUGAGUGAUAGGUGGCAUAUAUAUGAUUAUUGAUUAAUGCAUUUUGUUAUUAUAUCUUGAAUGUUUACAUCAAGAGAUGUUUUAAGCGGGUUAAAGAAAGUUUCAAAUUAUGUUAUCCGAAAGAAGUAUUUUGAAAUGGUAUUAUAUAAUAUCACAUUCAAAGUUCUACUUGCACCUUAAUGAUCGCAGUGAUCACAACAAUUUUGGGUAGUUCUAGUCACUUAGUGCUUCAAAUAUUUGUUUUUUAGUGUUUCAAGUAAAAAAAAAAGCUAAGAGCUCAGACCAAUUAAAUUUUAAUAUGUUUACAUUAAUUAAUGAUAUGCCUUGUUAAUUACAGAUACUAACAAUAUUUGAGUUUGAAUCAUUAUUAAGCAUAUCUAGCUAAAACGUUGACCUACUAUUACUUGUUUAGUGUUUAAACUUUGGCAGCCACUAAUAGAUGAUAGGCAGGGCCGGCCCAAACUAUUUGAGUGCCUAAAGUAAAAAUUUUUUUGGCCCAUUAACAAAAGCUGUUAUAAAAAAAAAAUACAAAUUUCAACAUGUAUGGGAUUCGAAACCAUGAUCUGUACAACAAAAGACUUCAAUCUAACCACUAGACCACAGUAACAUUUUAAAAAUUGAUGUCUUUAAAACUACUUAUAAUUAUUUGAUGCCUAAAGCCCUUGCUUCAUGGGCUUUACCCAUGGGCCGGCCCUGAUGAUAGGUAGAGAAGAGUAGACUAAUAAUUGUUGAUAGUUUAAUUUGUAUCAUUUUUGUUUCAUGAUUCUUAGUAAUUAACAACGACCAGCGAGGCAGCGAUAUGAAUUAGCGAUACGUUUUAUUGUUCGUUGUAUAGUAGUAGCCAACAGGUGACUUUUAUUCGUUUUAUAGUUGGUUGAAUGAUAGAUCAUCAUCACCAAAUUUUUUUGAAGUAUUUUGGUUUUGGUUUUCCAAUUGAAAUUGCCAGUAAGGGUAAAUAUAUAAUGAUAAAAAUGUGAGAAAUCUACUUAAACGUUACGUGUUCUUUCUUUUGAUAGUUGGGGAAAGGAACAAAACACACUUAAUGUUGAAUCCGACAUUAAUGUGAAACCAACAUGCAUUUUUUUUAGUAAGUUUAGGUGAAGAUUUUUCACAUUUAUAAUAAGCAUAACUCUUUUUCAUGUUUUUAUAAACAUUUAAUUUGUUAGUUCAACAACUUUGGUAACAAGUAAACCAAACCUAUUUAUUGUUUGAUGUAUGAUGUGUAUAUAUAUAUGUACAUACUUCGCAUUUAGCGCUAGAAUUACUUAGUGCAAAAAAAGGAAAAGGAAAAAAAGUCAUUGUUCCACAUUUUUCAUAUUAAAAACAUAAUUAAUUGUGCCAUGUACAUAUACAUUGAACUUACAGCAAGUCAACAACGACCAUUUUCCAUUUAUAAAAUUAAAUAUCGCAAUAAUCAAGAAAUAUCUAGCAUCCUAUAAACCGAAUACGAUAACUUUUAGAUGAGGACACAAUGACACCUCCAUAAUUAUAAUAGCUACUAAUCCACCGCUAAUGAUUGAUUAAAGUAGUCUAUUAAUUUGUAAUUACCCCGUUGCAAAGUAUAUUAAUGGCUUAAUUUUCUACAAGAACUUAUAUUCAUUGCUAACCAGUCAAUAUUACAAAUGAAGUUAAAGAUGUUUUAUAAUACAAAAGAUAUAUAUUUCAAUUUAUGAACAUAUCCGUUCAUCGUAGAUUAAUUCAAACUAUCAAUAAAUGUGGCAACAAAUUUUUUUUUAAAAAAAGAAAGAAAGGAAAAGAACAUUCUUAAUUUGUUUUGUUUUGUUUUUUUUCUUAAUUAGUGUUCUUCUUGCUAUGGUUUCCUGUGAGAAAAUCAAGCAAAACAUGGCUGUUGCAUCUAGGGCAUCUAGGGUCACUUUCUAAAGAGAUGAUGAUGUACAUGAUGCAAUUAGGGCAACCAACGACCACCAUUGAUUUAGCUUCUCCUCCUCCACCCUCAGCUUCCUCCGAGCAUAACGAUGACGAUGAACUCUCAGUGAGCAAAGAUGAAUCCAACGAUGGUGAAAUAUUUAGUUUCAGAUCAAGUUCAAGGUUACUCGCAGCUUCUUGAUUCAUGUUCCUUGCCUUCCAAGAAGAGUACUAUGUAUGUUGAUAUAUUAUUCUACAAGAAAAUCAGAAUAUGAAACACAAUAAAACAAAAAUUUAGAUGGAGAUCGAUGGUUUAUAAAACAUGUAUAUAUAUAAAAAGAAUUGAUCAAUUGAAUACUUAUUUUUUCUAUCGAUCAAUCAAAGACUAACAAUAUUUGAAUAUAGAUGAAACAAAAGUUUUUCGAUGAGAACAAAUUAACUUGGAUCUCGGGUUCCAAAUUAGCUUACCUUGGUAAAGACUAGUAGUCUACAAUUGUUCUUGUUCUUGUUUCUUGAGAUUUAAAGAGAGAUAGUUUGAUGUCUUCAUGUUAGUGGCUGUUAUAUAUAUAUAGACAGAAGAGAAGAUACACGCAAGAUGAGAGAGGGUCUCAUUGAAUGUAAUCAUGUAUAUUAAUUAAUUAGUAGGAUUAGUUUCAUCUAGCUUUCAUAGUAUUAAAUAUUCUUGUAGAAAAUAAUUUAAAAUGAGGUGUUUGAAGCAAUAAAUGUAAUUUGAAAAUAAUAUGCAGAAGAUUGAGUAUAUGACUUGAGCUUUGAAAUUACAUUUAUUACCAAAUAGUAUUUGGAUAAAUACAAACGAGAUAUUUUGUCCUUAUUCAUAAAUCAUCAAUUUUUUAUUAUGAAAAUUGAAAUUCAAAUCGAGAGAGAAGUAGACAAUGCGUUUGUUUCAAACUUGUAAGGUUGUAAUGUACCAGUUAACUCGGUGUUGACAAAAAAAAAAAAUUGUAGUUUAAUGUGUAGUUGAUAUUAUUAGAUUUCGAAAGUCUUAUAUGAUAAUAAUUUUUAAUAACAAUUUAGUAGCAUCGAAAAAUUAUUGUUGAAAAAUUGGUGAAUAUGAAUUUUGGAUAGCUAGACGGCUAGACGCACGGCCAACAAAUGAAUGGCUUUUGACUGUUAAGGUUAUUGACUUUAGAAAGCGAAAUAAAAAUGGAAGAAUAUUAAAUGAGUAUGUGAAAAUUUCUUGGGAGAUUUGGUUUUAUUUGACUUAGAACAAAUAUGUAGUUGUGGUUGGUGUCUAAUAAGAGAUUUAUUUAGGCUCUGACUAGUGAUGAAAUCAUGGAAAGAAUAUGACAUAAGCUUGCUUUUGUCAUCUUAGACUUUCGUUAGGCUCAUCAGUCAAAGUAAAAUCUAACAUCACAACCAAAGUUUGACUAGAAGAAGACAUCGAUUAUGUUAUAUAUUCAUGUGUUUUUUUUUUUUUUGUUAGAUAAAUGAUAGAAUCAACCAUAAGUAACUACAGAUAUUACAAGUACCCUAAUUCUCAAUUUUACUACAAGUUAAAUAUCUCAAUCUUACUCAUGAACAAAGUAAUUCAUCCUUCUAAUCAAAUCAUCAGCAACGUUUUAACACAACAAAAGUAAAUUACAACAGUUUUUACGUACCAUUUGUGUUAUUUAUUAGAGCUGUUGUAAUAACGGAGGAAAUAUUAGUCUUCCACGAUGUGUUUCCUCUCGAGCUCAAUAAACUGUUUGUUUAGAUGGGAGGUUUCAGUGGCGUUUCGUGUCUCGUUCUCUCCUUUGCAUCGCUGUAACUGCAUUUGAAGACUUCGUACAAGGUCGUUUAGCCUCUGGAUAUGUCUCUCUUGUGACAAGAUGAUCUGUGAAGAUUGACAAAAUAAGAAAAAGAAAAGCACUGUUAGAACUUAGAAUUGACAGGUCUUCUUCUAUUUUGAGGUUCAAAAAUUAUGCUGAAACUAUGAUGAUUGUCAUACAUCCAAUGGAACUUUAAGGUUGCAAGACAAAUAAGUCUUCUUUUUAUACAAAUUUUCUCCACUAACCUCAUCUAUUUGAUGCAACCAGGGAAAACACAACAGAAGGCAAAAAAACAACCAAUAUUUCUAUGCAACAUUAAAAAGUCAGAUCAGUCAUUGAUGGAUUCCAGAGACAUUCUCAAAAAGAAGAAGCUAGAGAAAUGUAAUCCAGUUACAAAAAAGCAUUUCAAUGCCGAGAAUUAAGCCAGAAACAAAAACAACCAAUGUAUCGAUCAAAAAAAGGCCCGGGAUUCAGAUACAUGAAUCUUUAGCAUCAGAACAUUACAAGUUAACUGACUCAAUCCAACUAUGCAUAAAUCUCUUCAACAGUUUAACUAAUCUAUAAGUCACAAUCCCAAAACCAAUUCAGGUCUUUCUCAUACAACUGAACACACAAAAUUACCAUGAAAAGAGUGAAUAAGAGUCAGUACCUUCUCCUUGACAGCUUCUUCCCUCUUAGCAAUCUGCUGAUGUUUCUGAGACAAGCUAGGAGCUGCAUCAAGCUCAAGAAGUGGUUGCCUCCAUUCAAACUGAGAAGUGACUAUAAGUAUAACCAGAAGAAAGACGAGCAUGAUCGGCCUCGACAUUUUUCUAUCUAGCUCCUACAAAACCUGUUCCAAAUUCACAAUAUCCAUUUCUUCAUACCAUCCAACAAAAAUGCAUCCAAGAGCACGCCUAAUCGAAAUUGAGACACAUAUCGAAAAUGUGACAAAAAAUUCACCUACUCAGUUAAAAUUUCCUAAACACAAACCAAAAGUAGAACAAUAUAAUCAGUGUAAGCUACUACUAUUAAAAGCAAAAUCCAUUAAUGACCUAGAUUUUCAACACGAAUCUCCUUCAUAUCUAAACUACUACAGAAGAUUGAAUUUCCUCAGCACCACAAACAAAAUUGAAGCAUCAAUGAAGAAGAUAAAGAUAUCUCCAACUUACAGAUCGAAGUUGCACAGUGAAAUCAAACUUCAUUAUCGAAUCAUCAGCUUUUCUAGGGCUUCUUAAAUUGAAGAAACUGAUCGAGAAGAUCUUUCGAUAAAAUCGGCUUAACGGAGUAGUGAGGCGACUUGUCUUCUACCAAAAAAAUGGAUUUCUCGUAUAGAAGAAGAGAGAAAGAAACGCAAAGCAGAGGUUUAAUGGCGGCUAGAUAAAAAUCUACAGCCAUCUGGACGAGAAAGAUAAACAGUACGGAUUUGGAAAAUAGUAAUUUACUAAAUUGCCCCCAUCCUUUUUAUCCAUUCUCAUUAAACACAAACUUAAGCUCCUAUCAUCCUAUGUGAUUAGUAUUAUUUAACAAUUAUAUCCACAAAACUGGAUUUGUUAACAAUAUAACUUUCUUCUGUGGUCUAGUUGAGUACAAGUUUGUAAUUCACUUUUGAUGAUCGGUUUGGUUGCACAGAUUUGAAGUACAAGUGUAGAACAUUAAACACAAAAAACGUAUAAACCUCUUACACGAAAACAUCAUAUAUAUUUUUGUCCCAGAAGAUGCAAACAUAGGACUCAGGAGGACACUGGUUUCUUCUACUUCCAUAAACAUUAUUCUUCUAGAUAAAACAACAUUGCUAUCAGAGCUACUAAACAUAUAAUAACAUUCCAUCGUGCUCGGUUCACUGACUUGAUCGAGUAUAAACCCACGAAGCAGUUCGACAAUGAUUCCAUGGUAUCUGUUCCUUCCAUCUUUUGUGAUGGUCUUUCCUCUAACAGUGAUGACAUUUGUUUGUCUAUCAUGUUUGGUAAGGGAAGUACCCUUAUCUCCAUUGAUGCUGAUUCUAGUGUUGGGAUUUCGUCUCGUGUGUUCCCCCUCAUCACCGCUUCAUCAAGAUUGAUGAUUUCGUCUCUUAGGAUAUCCGCAAAGAAAUCCUCGUCAUUAUGCACCUAAACACACAGAAGAAUCAUUAACAACAAGGACAAUCAAGAACCAUCAUCCAAAUUUGUUUCGAUCCCCUAGACAUAAAAUAAACAAAGACGAAGGGGACAACAAACCUGUAGAUUUUCUGAUGAUUGUGCCAUCUCCCAGAGCAGUUUCUCCCCUGAUUCACCUGCUAGGUAAAAAUCAACCAAGUUGUCCCAAUCAGACGGGCUCCCUGAACUAGUAGCACCAUUUUGCAAGAUGGCGUGCUUCUCGGGUGCUAAUUUUGGCUCGGGUGCCUUCUGACUCAUACCACUUUGAUAUUCUUUGUUCCUCUUAACCCGGCAAACAACCAUAGCAUCAUCCUAGAAUUUACAGAAGAUCAUUAAUCAAUCAACUCAAGCGAAAGACCAAAAUCCUAAACUGUUACCGUAUUCCUCUGCUAUAAUGAAGUAUAUGAUUAACUUUCCUCCCAAAGUAACCAGCGUAGCUCAAGUAUUCGUGCAUAAUCUUAAGACAAAACAAAACUCUAAAGAACAGUUUACCAGAGAAACUCCUUUCAUGCAGUACUCGUGCAUAAUCCAGUCAGUUCUUUCACCUUUUGGUGCACGACCAAUAUGGAAAACAAGCGUCCUCUUUGUUCCAAUGACCUCAGAACCAGACUUCACAUCACGCUCUUUCCCAGUUGCUUUCCAAUAUCCCAUCUUCGUUGCUCUCCUGUUCUGUGACCCAUGUGGAUACUUUUUCCCACGGGCACAGAAGAAGAACCACUCGCUAUCAGAUUUCACAAUCGACUUAUCUACAAAGAACAAAAUUUGUCAAUUCACAGAGCCAAAAAAAAAUAGAAACUUUACAUAAGAGAAGAUGUUUUGGAGCAAAGGCAACAGUUCCUCAAUUGUCAAAAGACUCAAAGGUAUGAACUUUAAACAACGAGAUCCAAAAAUAAGAAAUUCUCCUGAAGCAGAGUAGAAGAAAGACAAACCGGGCAAAUCCCAAGGCUCGAAAUUGUAAAUCUCAGCGUCCGGUAUAACCUCAACGGACCUCUCCAAGCCAUCCAUCUUCCGCUUCAAGUAAUACGAAAUCAGCUCAACAUCAGUCGGCGAAAACUUAAACCCAGGAAACACCAUCGACGCUUCUACUGACGCCGCCGUAGCCUCCAUGAAGGCUCGCGCGUACACAACACUCGCGCGUAAGAAAUGAGUCACCGCCAAAGAGUAAAAUCUGGGAAUUGCCGAUAUCAAACUGAAUUUUCGUGUCAGUGUGUCUCUUCUCACUCACUUAGCUUUUGAUUUGUAAUUGGAACACUUCACAGGUGCGUGCACACAUAUGGGUUUUUGCAUACGUGUUACGCAGGCAUUGCUUAAUAUACGGUGAAUGCCACAUCACCAAACCUAGUAAAUUUAUAGGCUUUAUUCCAUUUUUUUUUUGUCGGCCAACAUAUUUAUUAAAAAGCCCAAAGGACAAUACAUGUGAUGAAAAUACAGAAGCCCAAAUUCCUCCUUUUAAAACCUUAAUUUAAAAUUAACAUCGCUUAAUCUAAUCUAAAAAGAUAAGAUUAAGAAGGAAAAGUGCCACGUGUUACAAGAUGAUAGAUGCAGAACACACGAGAAGGAGAGAACAGUCGGUGCUCGAGAUCCACGAUCUGCUUCAGAUCCGACGAUAGGCUUCAAUAAUCCAUCACCAAAUCUCUUCUACAGAUAUCGCUGAUGCAAAAUAGAUGAAACCCACCACUUCCGCCUUGAACUUCUCAACUCAAAACUCGUAGAGGAGGCUCCGUCUUGAGACCUAACAAGGUCAACUUCAUAAGAAGCAUGUCGACGAAGAUAUUAUUCCAACUUAGAGAAAGGAGUUAAGCAGACGGGUACAUCGAAGGAGAUCUAUUAAUUGCAAUCAGGAUCAAAAUAAAACCAGUAGAAAAGAUAACAAAAACCAAACUAAAGACAGAACUGAGAAAGAGAGAAAUAUAAAUCCGAUCAAAUCGGAAAACAAAAAACUACGUCGGGGAAGAUAGCCGACGCAAGAACAGAGAUUUAAACCAAAAGACUACUCCGAUCAAAGAUCGGAAAGCAAAAGAGAAUAUCUAACUUUCUGUCUCUGAAAGGUUCGAGAGAGUUAAGAGAGAGAAAGCUAGUGUUGAUGUAAGAUGUGUGGGCCUUUAGGCUUUAUUUCAUUUACACCCUUAAUGUUUUGACGUAAUCUUAUUUUAAGACCUUUAGUUUACUUUUAUAAGAGAAAGCCCAUAAUAAUAGACAAAGACGAAAAAAACAAAAAAAACUGUGUGAAAAAGGUUAAACAAAUUAUGAUGAAGUGACUGAAAUAAAGCAAACUUUACAAAGAAAAUUGUUUAUUUUUGUGAAGGUAACUUAAAAACACAAAGGGGAGUAGGGGACACUUAAUCCUCUUUCGUCAAAAUCGCAGCCGUCGAGGGUCACAAAAAACCGAUUCUUAGAUCCGCCUCUCCGGUGGUCGGUGCUUCUCACCGGCACCGCGAGAGGGCUCUUAUUGUUGUUCCUUUGCUUUGUUCUUAGUCUUGUUGGUGUUUCCUUUGGUGAAACCUUGGCGAUUGGAGUGGCGGUUUUGUUGCGGCGUGGGUCUUUGGUGAUUGCAAAGGUGGAUUUUGCAAGGAUUGGCGGAUUCUCUAUGCUUUAAAGGUGUUGGCUCUGGUUAGUGUUGUCGGGUGAUGGUGGAUCUGGUAAGUGACGAGAGCUUGUGGUUGUUGGAAGUUUCUGUCCCCUUGGUUCUUUUGGGGCUGUGGUGGUGUUGGCCUUUGCCGGGUGGGCUGCUCCUCUCGUUGGUUUCUCGCAUGGUUGCACUUGGUGUAGUCUUUGUAUUUUGUGUUGAUGGCUUAAUCGUUGCCUCUGGUCUCUUGCUUGUGGCUUUAAGGUUGUAUAAUCGUUAGUUUAGGUAGCUUAAGGGGUUGUGUAGGUUAGUUUAGGCUCUGAUUCUACGGAUAAUCCGGGAUUUUGGUAUGGCUACCUCGUUCUCCUUCCUCUCUUGCUGCCCGAAGCUUUGGUCUGAGCUUGCUAGAGCUCUCUUGUUUUUGUGUCUUGCUGAGCUUGCUUUUGUCCUUUGAUGAGCUUUAUUGUGAUCUCUCCGGUUCGAUCGUAUGCUUUUCUCCUUUUGAGUUUAGUGUUUGCCGGUUAGAGGUUUGUUUCGCUCCUUGUCUCUACACUCAAGACCUGAUCGAGGUCUGGUCAGUUCAUGUCUUCUAACGAGGCGAUUAAAGGUCGUGGUUUGCGACAAAUGCCGCUUCCGAAAGAUUUGUGGGAUUUGGUCUCUUUGUCUCGCGUCUUUCUUGUCGGAAUAGAAGUCUAGGUUCAUUCGAUUUGAGAGGUACCUUGGCUACGCAAUAGGAGGUUUCGUUGACUGCAAGAUGGACACGUGUUGUCCUUUGUGGCUGGCUUGGUUCACAUUUGUGUGGGAGUAAGAUUGGCAAGUUCGUUUUCUUUCGAGCUUUUGUUUAAGUUUUUGACUGUUGUUUCGUUUUUGUGGAUUGUAUUCUCCACGUGUUCAACUGGUUCCCUCUUUUGGGCUUUCGCUUCCCUCUUUUGGGAUUUAAGUUUCCGGGGAUUUCUAGUGUUUCCGCCGGCUUAUGUAUUUCAACAAUGUAUCCUUCUUUGUGAUAUUAAUAAAAACAGACGACAAAAAAAAAAGAGUAGGGGACACUUGUGACCAAAUACAAGACUUGUGGAAGACAUGACAGCAAGGCAAUGUGAUUGCUUCUUCUCCAAGAAAUAUCUCCCCAACGCAAAUCAUACACGGAUUAAGCCGAUCCAUGUCUGAUCUAAGCACCUUAAAACGCUCUAACCCGAAAAUCGUAGAUCUAUAUGUUGGUACCGUAGAGCUGCUCGAAGAAAUCUCCAUCUGAACCGUCUUUAUCAUUGCCUGGUUAGCUCUUCUAGACACAUCAUAGGGAUGCAUACAAUGAGUGAAACCCAUCUCCGAUAUUACUUCUCUGAUUUGUUUUUCCACUCUUUUCUUGAUCAGAUCCGAGAUUUUACUCUCAAUCAAUCGCUCACAUUGUAUGUCCCUAUAAAUCUUGUUCAGGGACUCGUAAUCAUCAGGCGUUACCUCAAGGUUUCUGUUGAUUUGAUACUUAAGAGUCAACCACAUAUCAUAACAAGAAAACUCAUCCUUCUUGAUGGUUUUCAACUAGUCCAUAAGACUUUCGAUAUCUCCAGGUUUAUUCAACAACUUAUGUUCAAGAUCGUGGGACAAGAAAGGCGAAUUCUCGCAAAUCUCCCUCCGUAAAACCUCGUACGCCUUCCAAGUAGUAAAAUCUGUGGACUCUGUUUCUGUGUCAAGGUACGAACAGGGAAAACAAAAUCUGUGAGUGGACUUUCUUGUUGUUUCCCUCGUGGAUUUAGGGAUGUAGAUAGCGACCAAGUUAUACUCAACCUAUAUAAAGAAUUGAGCAUACGAGAGAGUCUUCUCGCAGUCAUCAACACCAUUCUGUUUCGAAUGUGAUUUCAUCAAAACAGUUUGGUAAUACGUUUCGAGGGGAGGAAGUCUUAACCAAGGGCCAUAGACGUUUGUUCUUGACGUGUCGUUCAAGGCACGUUCCUUAGGAAACCUAACCUGAUCGCAAUUGCUUUUCACGUGACCAACCAUGCCACAGUUGUAGCAAAAAUCACCUAAGUUUCUAUAUUUAAACUCCACGAACCGGUUUUGGUUUUCGCCUAUGUAGAAUCCUUGUUUGAGUGGCUUAUUGAGAUAAAUUUCCAUUAGGAAACAGACAAUAUUGUUUCUUAUUGUUGAACUUAUGUUGUCUCAGGAAUAUAGAUGCAGAUCACAAUACGUACAUACAAACACGUACACUUUAUUAAAUGAGUAACCAGAAGAGAACUGAAACUGAAAUACGUACACAAGUAUGUACACCGUCGAUCUCUUCUCUGCUUUAACGUAAGAACAACGUAUAGAUUGAUUGAGGCUUGCAAUAAGCAAUCUCCUAAGACAGAAUUUUGCCCCUACGAUGGUGUUAGUAGCUUUCUGUGGGCGUUUAUCUUGCAGGAUACAACAAUCGAUCUCUGUAUUCACACCUAUACAGAGACCCUAGCAAACCUACUUUGAGAUUCUCAGAAACUAAUUUGGAAA